GAUUCCUUGUCAGGCUGUGGCAUCCGUCGUGUGUUUACAUUACCGCCCAGAGACAGUACACUGCAGUACCAAAAAUUCGUACACCUCUGAAAUAACUUUCCUUGCAUUAGUACCUAAUCUGAUGCUCGGAACCCGUCAUGAUGAACCAAAAAGAUUUCCAAUAAAAAGUUGGAGUCUGAUUUAGAUUCAAGUUGAUGUUGAACAAAACAACAGUCCUAAGAGUCCCAGUCCUCCUGGAUCAAUAUCUAUUCCAGUUCCUAAGAACCCUAUCACCUUCUCCAUGCAGAACAGUUUGUGCAUUCAAGAGAUAACCAAAUCGGAUUCCAUAUCUCUUCACAACUUCAACAUGUCAAAUAAAAGUGGUGGCACACAAAAUACGGUGAUGCUUGUUGCAGAGAUUGAAAAGGAUAAUAACCAG
Long non-coding RNA from Eurytemora carolleeae, 418 nucleotides. RefSeq lists it as uncharacterized. Lineage: Eukaryota; Metazoa; Arthropoda; Copepoda; Calanoida; Temoridae. The record is from RefSeq and is a predicted model, not a curated record. The transcript has 4 exons.